UGAAGCCGUCGGGGUUGUGAGUGGGAAACACAGAAUAUACUCCGUCCUGAGAGACGCCGGAGGCCAUGACAUCACUACAGUGUCUGGGUCUGAGAGCUGAGAGACCGACAGGCAGACAGGCAAACAGGGAGACAGACAGAGAGCCGAGCAGAGAAUCACUGAAUCCUGCCGCCAACUUCAGAACCGCUGAGUGAGCGUCAGACUGGAGCUGAAGAGAGUCACAGCGAAUCAGCUUCCACCCUCAUGUUAUGGGCGUGGCCUGACAACACCUUCAGCUCCUCCCCCAGUCUCUGAACCAAUCCCCUCUCCUGCCAGUCACCUGUGUUGUGAUUGGUCAGCGCUCGCAGCAGGGAGCUCUGUAGCUCCUCCCACCGCAGGAAGAUCUCACUGUGGUCCGGACAGUUGGGGUCCAGGAAGAUGCUGAUUGGUUCACCUGCUGUGACACGUGACACUGUCACCAGGGCGCCAGACUCUCUGGGAUUGGUUGAAAUCACAGUUCCUCCCUGAGUCUCUGUCUGGUUCGGUCCAGGACCCUGGUUCUGUUCUGGACUCUGGUUCGGUCCAGGACCAUGGUUCUGUUCAGGACCCUGGUAGGUUAGUGGGACCACCAGGGGGCAGAAGGUCUGAC
Scophthalmus maximus (turbot) is the source of this 628-nucleotide long non-coding RNA. RefSeq lists it as uncharacterized. The transcript has 4 exons. The record is from RefSeq and is a predicted model, not a curated record. NCBI's taxonomy places the organism in Eukaryota, Metazoa, Chordata, Actinopteri, Pleuronectiformes, Scophthalmidae.